RNAcentral lists this ribosomal RNA (472 nucleotides) under uncultured organism. RNAcentral's name for it is "partial 16S ribosomal RNA". It matches the Rfam family "Bacterial small subunit ribosomal RNA", at positions 332 to 800 of the family's 1533-position model. The record is from RNAcentral.
UACACUCCUACGGGAGGCAGCAGUGAGGAAUAUUGGACAAUGGGUGGAAGCCUGAUCCAGCCAUCCCGCGUGCAGGAAGACGGCCCUAUGGGUUGUAAACUGCUUUUAUCUGGGGAUAAACCUACUUACGUGUAAGUAGCUGAAGGUACCAGAAGAAUAAGCACCGGCUAACUCCGUGCCAGCAGCCGCGGUAAUACGGAGGGUGCAAGCGUUAUCCGGAUUUAUUGGGUUUAAAGGGUCCGUAGGCGGACUGAUAAGUCAGUGGUGAAAUCCGACAGCUUAACUGUCGAACUGCCAUUGAUACUGUUAGUCUUGAGUAAGGUUGAAGUGGCUGGAAUAAGUAGUGUAGCGGUGAAAUGCAUAGAUAUUACUUAGAACACCAAUUGCGAAGGCAGGUCACUAAGUCUUAACUGACGCUGAUGGACGAAAGCGUGGGGAGCGAACAGGAUUAGAAACCCGAGUAGUCCCAUGA